CCAAUAGCGUAUAUUAAAGUUGUUGCAGUUAAAAAGCUCGUAGUUGAAUUUCGGGAUCAGCAUGUCGGUCGUGCCUCCGGUACGUACUGGCAUCGUUGAUUUCUACCUUCUGACGAACCAUGAUGUCAUUAAUUUGGUGUCAUGGGGAAUCAGGACUGUUACUUUGAAAAAAUUAGAGUGUUUAAAGCAGGCACACGCUUGAAUACAUUAGCAUGGAGUAAUGAAAUAGGACGUUUGACCCUAUUUUGUUGGUUUCUAGGAUCGACGUAAUGAUUAAUAGGGAUAGUUGGGGGCAUUAGUAUUCAAUUGUCAGAGGUGAAAUUCUUGGAUUUAUUGAAGACUAACUACUGCGAAAGCAUUUGCCAAGGAUGUUUUCAUUAAUCAAGAACGAAAGUUAGGGGAUCGAAGACGAUCAGAUACCGUCGUAGUCUUAACCAUAAACUAUGCCGACUAGGGAUCGGAUGAUGUUAAUUUUUUAAUGACUCAUUCGGCGCCUUACG
RNAcentral lists this ribosomal RNA (500 nucleotides) under uncultured Glomeromycotina. Its description in RNAcentral is "partial small subunit ribosomal RNA". It matches the Rfam family "Eukaryotic small subunit ribosomal RNA", at positions 591 to 1092 of the family's 1831-position model. The record is from RNAcentral. Lineage: Eukaryota; Fungi; Glomeromycota.